Molecule: ribosomal RNA, 274 nt
Filed under: uncultured bacterium
Lineage: Bacteria
Description: partial 16S ribosomal RNA
Rfam family: Bacterial small subunit ribosomal RNA
Source: RNAcentral
AUACGGGGAGGGCAAGCGUUGCCCGGAAUCACUGGGCUUAAAGGGGGUGUAGGCGGCCGGGUGUGUCGGACGUGUAAUCCAUCGGCUCAACCGGUGGGCUGCGUCCGAAACUACCCGGCUAGAGGGCGCCAGAGGGGAGCGGAACUCACGGUGUAGCGGUGAAAUGCGUGGAUAUCGUGGGGAACGCCAGUGGGGAAGCCGGCUCCCUGGGGCGACCCUGACGCUGAGGCCCGAAAGCUGGGGGAGCGAAGGGGAUUAGAAACCCCAGUAGUCC